Molecule: ribosomal RNA, 433 nt
Filed under: uncultured bacterium
Lineage: Bacteria
Description: partial 16S ribosomal RNA
Rfam family: Bacterial small subunit ribosomal RNA
Source: RNAcentral
AACGAACGCUGGCGGCAUGCCUAACACAUGCAAGUCGAACGAGACCUUCGGGUCUAGUGGCGCACGGGUGCGUAAAGCGUGGGAACCUGCCCUUAGGCUCGGAAUAACUCCCCGAAAGGGGUGCUAAUACCGGAUAAUGUCCUCGGACCAAAGAUUUAUCGCCUUUGGAUGGGCCCGCGUUGGUUUAGCUAGUUGGUAGGGUAAAAGCCUACCAAGGCGACGCUCCAUAGCUGGUCUGAGAGGAUGAUCAGCCACACUGGGACUGAGACACGGCCCAGACUCCUACGGGAGGCAGCAGUGGGGAAUAUUGGACAAUGGGCGAAAGCCUGAUCCAGCAAUGCCGCGUGAGUGAUGAAGGCCUUAGGGUUGUAAAGCUCUUUUACCCGGGAUGAUAAUGACAGUACUGGGAGAAUAAGCUCCGGCUAACUCCGUG